GCCGACGUGGUGAAAUUGGUAGACACGCUAUCUUGAGGGGGUAGUGGACAUCGUCCGUGGCGGUUCGACUCCGCCCGCCGGCACCA
RNAcentral lists this transfer RNA (86 nucleotides) under Gammaproteobacteria bacterium. RNAcentral describes it as "tRNA-Leu". It matches the Rfam family "tRNA". Rfam says of the family: Transfer RNA (tRNA) molecules are approximately 80 nucleotides in length. Their secondary structure includes four short double-helical elements and three loops (D, anti-codon, and T loops). Further hydrogen bonds mediate the characteristic L-shaped molecular structure. tRNAs have two regions of fundamental functional importance: the anti-codon, which is responsible for specific mRNA codon recognition, and the 3' end, to which the tRNAs corresponding amino acid is attached (by aminoacyl-tRNA synthetases). tRNAs cope with the degeneracy of the genetic code in two manners: having more than one tRNA (with a specific anti-codon) for a particular amino acid; and 'wobble' base-pairing, i.e. permitting non-standard base-pairing at the 3rd anti-codon position. Lineage: Bacteria; Pseudomonadati; Pseudomonadota; Gammaproteobacteria. The record is from RNAcentral.